CCUGCCCAAGAGCCCAGCCCCACGGAGAAGCGCUUGAAGGCCUUUUCCCCAGGAGUCCAGCCCUCCCUCCUCUGCCUCCACAGAACCUGGGAAGUGCCAGACGGAGGGAAGAAACUGGACAGCUCUGAGAGAGGGCAGGACCUCCAAGACUGCUGGAGUUUUCCUUGCCUUUCCCCUUUCAGCAGUGCUGGGAAGCAAAGCUUUGUGGCUGAGAGAGUGGACCCACUGCCCACGCUAACGCAGGCCCCUGGAGGCUCAGAGGUGGAAAUUGGGGAUCGGAAGUGGAGGCCGAGAGAGAGAUUCCUCCGUCGCCACCCCUUUCCAUUAAGGAUACACCUUUCUCCCAGGGUGCUCAGCCUCAUCUAAAACUGUCAUCUGAACUGAGACUCGGUUUCCUGAAAAGAUAACCCUACUGAUGAUCAAAGGAAGAGACUGGUUCCAUUAGUCAAGAUGCCUAUCCCGUGGCCUUCAAAAUAGAGAGAAACGUAUUUUAGAAGGAUCUGAGUAACACACUUUACUCAUAACAUUUUGUAUUAUAUUGCUUGUUGUCUGUUUCAACUUACCUUCUGAGUACUUUAUUUUAAGCACUACCAAAGUGGAUGACAUGCUGAAAAAAAGAACAAGAGUCACCAAAUGCUUCCUGCAAAUGUAUCUUCAAAUAAUGCUUUUACACUGAAAAUUAGGAUGUGAACUCUUAUGAGAACACACUCAAGGAUAGGAUAUUUAAAUCAUAGUAUUUCUAACCUAAGGAGAAAUAACUCUAUCCAGUUUGCUCAUUGAGGAUAAGAUCUGAAGAGUUAAAAACUUCUAUUUCUCUCUUGAAGUUUUCUGUGUUGACUUUGGCCUCUCAAUUCAAAACAAGCUUCACAAAGUGACAGGAAAAAAGAAAGACCUG
Molecule: long non-coding RNA, 895 nt
Filed under: Capra hircus (goat)
Lineage: Eukaryota; Metazoa; Chordata; Mammalia; Artiodactyla; Bovidae
Description: lncRNA (ENSCHIG00000001889.1)
Source: RNAcentral